GCGCAGACCUUUUCCAGCGAGGCUCAGCCUGCAGUGGCUCUGUUCUUUCCUGUAGUGUCUGCUAGAGAGAAGAGAGGCUGUUUGAGGCCCAGCCGUGACUCUUUACGGCCGGGUUAUAGGUAAGCCUCCGACAUUU
This is a small nucleolar RNA of Pungitius pungitius (ninespine stickleback), 136 nucleotides long. RefSeq annotates it as small nucleolar RNA SNORA9. The record is from RefSeq and is a predicted model, not a curated record. The transcript has a single exon. Lineage: Eukaryota; Metazoa; Chordata; Actinopteri; Perciformes; Gasterosteidae.